GGUCAAGUGAAGAAGCGCAUACGGUGGAUGCCUUGGCAGUCAGAGGCGAUGAAAGACGUGGUAGCCUGCGAAAAGCUUCGGGGAGUCGGCAAACAGACUUUGAUCCGGAGAUGUCUGAAUGGGGGAACCCACCUAACAUAAGUUAGGUAUCUUAAGCUGAAUACAUAGGCUUAAGAAGCGAACCAGGGGAACUGAAACAUCUAAGUACCCUGAGGAAAAGAAAUCAACCGAGAUUCCCUUAGUAGUGGCGAGCGAACGGGGACCAGCCCUUAAGCUGUAUUGAUGUUAGCGGAACGCUCUGGAAAGUGCGGCCAUAGUGGGUGAUAGCCCUGUACGCGAAAACAUCUUU
This 349-nucleotide ribosomal RNA is filed under the name Pseudomonas fragi. Its description in RNAcentral is "partial 23S ribosomal RNA". It matches the Rfam family "Bacterial large subunit ribosomal RNA", at positions 1 to 392 of the family's 2925-position model. RNAcentral also lists the same sequence under 7 other names. Lineage: Bacteria; Pseudomonadati; Pseudomonadota; Gammaproteobacteria; Pseudomonadales; Pseudomonadaceae. The record is from RNAcentral.